AGAAUAAACGUUGGCGGUGCGCCUUAUGCAUGCAAGUCGAACGGAGUUACGGUCUUCGGACUGUAGCUUAGUGGCGAACGGCUGAGUAACACGUAAGUAACCUGCCUUAGAGCGGGAAACAACUCCGAGAAAUCGGGGCUAAUGUCCCAUGUGGUAACCAGACACAAGUCUGGUUACUAAAGUCUUCGGGUGCUCUGAGAGGGGCUUGCGUCCGAUUAGCUUGUUGGUGGGGUAACGGCCCACCAAGGCUAUGAUCGGUAGCUGGUCUGAGAGGAUGGUCAGCCAGAUGGGGACUGAGACACGGCCCUAACUCCUACGGGAGGCAGCAGCAAGGAAUUUUGGGCAAUGGGCGAAAGCCUGACCCAGCGACACCGCGUGAGGGAUGAAGGCCUUCGGGUUGUAAACCUCUUUUCUUGGGGAAGAAUUCUGACGGUACCCAAGGAAUAAGCCUCGGCCAACUACGUGCCAGCAGCCGCGGU
This 479-nucleotide ribosomal RNA is filed under the name uncultured bacterium. RNAcentral describes it as "bacterial SSU rRNA". It matches the Rfam family "Bacterial small subunit ribosomal RNA", at positions 26 to 521 of the family's 1533-position model. The record is from RNAcentral.